AUUUUACUUCCUGUAUCCUUUUCAGGUUCUAUGUAUAAUAUUUUCCUUUUGCUAUACCAGUUAUAUUCUUGAACUUAGCAUAUUGUUUUGGUUUAUUAUUCCUGGUAUAUAAAAGUAUGAAUAGUCUCAUCAGUAAUAUAGUUAGAAAUCAUCUCUCAGGAGAGGUGUCUUCAUCAGAUAUAUGCCAGCUUACUGGUUUCAGAAUCAGUUGUCUCCCCAUUUGGGGGAGGAAACACACUAUUUGAGGCCUGUAGCUUAUAUUCCUAAAAAGAAUAUAUGUAUCAUUUGUAUCAAAGCCAAGCUUUGGGGCUGGGGAUGUGGCUCAAGCGGUAGCGCGCUCGCCUGGCAUGCAUGCGGCCCGGGUUCGAUCCUCAGCACCACAUACAAACAAAGGUGUUGUGUCUGCCAAAAACUAAAAAAUAAAUAUUGAAAAAUUCUCUCUCUCUCUCUCUCACUAAAAAAAAAAAAGCCAAGCUUUGAACUUUUAUUUUUUUUGCAGUGCUGAGGAUCGAAUCCAGGGCCUCAUAUAUGCCAGGCAAGCACUCUACCCUGAGUACAACUCCAGCCCUGAACUUUUAUUUUUGAUGCUUAGAUAACAUUAAUUGGCCAAGAUUACCUGUGAAGAGUUAGCAAUGAAAAAACAAAGUACACACAAACACAUUGGAGAAGUUACAACUUUUAAUUGCCUGGUUUCUGAAAUGAUUUAUCCUUGUAUCUAACCAUUAGUACAGUGGGUAUAGAGAACACUUUUUAAAUAUUCAACAUCAACAUCUGUGCUUGUUUUUCUACUAUGCUGAGGUACACUGAAUAUGUUGCCUUGGUGAUGUGAACUAAAUAUGUAUGUUCCCUACCUCCCCUGGGUCUGAGUCCUCAGCUCAUCCAUUUGUUUUAAUCAGGGUUAUCACUCUAAAUGUACAGGCUUUUUCAGCUUCUCAACAUUAGGUCAUGCAUGGAAGCCGAUUCAAAGAGGUUAAACUAGCAGGUAUAUCAGCCUCUUUAGAUACUGUGGUUGAAGGAAACUUGUUUACCCAUAUCCCCAAGAGUAGGAAUACAGGGGAGCCUGUUUUCUCUCAAGCAAUGUGUUUCCAGUUCAUUUUAAGUUUCAAAAUUAAUUUUGUGUCAAACCACUUUACCAGCUAGCCAUGCCUAUGUAUUUUAAUCACUUUUACUUAGCCAAUGUCAAUUCAGCUCAGUGGGUAUUUAUUAUCUACUAGAUUUUAGGUGAUGUGGCACAAAGAUGAAUAAUACACUAGUAGCUGCCCUUAAGAAGCUUCCAGUCUAGUUAGUAAAGAAAAUUUAAGCUGGGCACGGUGGCUGGGAGGUUGAGCAAGUUCAAAGCCAGCCUCAGCAAUUUAGUAAGGCCCUGAGUAACUUAGGGAGACCCUGUCUAAAAAUAAAAAGGGCUGGGGAUGUGGCUCAGUGGUUAAGUGCCGCUGGGUUCAAUCCCUGUUAUCCCCCACCCCCCAAAAAAAAGAAAGAAAGAAAAUUCAUAUUUUAAAAAAAUCUGGGUAAUGGUGGCAGCCUAACACCAGUAUGAAGUCAGUAGGAAUUUAUAAAUGCUUUUACAAUUUCCAUCAUCAAAACUUGCAAAUUACACAUGAACCAAACACAAAAAUAGCCCUUAGGUUGUACUCAAUAUGAGGCUAAAAAGUCCGCAUAUUUUGUAGUUGCAACAAUUCAUUGUUCCAGUUCUGAUGGUUGUCCCAUUGUCCAUUGGAAUAGAGGCCUGACCAGUCCUCUCUGGCAGACUGUUGACAGUGGUUUGGUGGCAUUCUGUUGGCAGCUGCAUUUUUUUCUUUCAUUUUCUCUCUUGUCUUUUUGUGUUUUCUGGACCCGAAACAAAAGCAGCUGGGUUUAUCCCAGGGAUAAUUGUGAACAUUUCCAAUUUGAGGACUUGAUAUUCCCCAAACAGAAGUUCAUAUGGCGUUUAUCAAACAAUGAUUACAUCCAGCCAAGUUCCCUCUCUCUAUACAAAUCAGCAACUGUGGAUACAUUAUUUCUAAGUACAGUACUUCAGAAGAAGACAUAACAAUGGCAAUUCACUAAAUUUGCUGAGGUAUUUCAUUAUAAUUCACUUGUUGUUGUUCAUGAAAAUAUUUAUGUAGCAAGUAUAUAUUAAUGGAAAUGACUGUAUGCCCAAACAAAAUGUGGUAAAUAUUUUAACUUUGUUUAUCUAGGUUCCUUAAUUUUGAGAAUAUAUCUCAAGCUCUUCAAGAAACUCAAAAUGAUUCCAAUAUCUAAAGGAGUAUCCACUAAAACAGAUUUGUAAUGAAAGAAAAGCAGUGAAAAUGUAUGCAUCCUAUGUCGAUAUAACCAUCACAUCUGAGGUCUCAAGCAAUCAGAAACUUACUCAAGUUAUUCAAUAACUAUAAGAAUUAGGCAGUUAGAAUAUUUUGGAAGCCCUAUAGAACACUUAUGUUUGGUAUGUUACUAGUCGUCUCAAGGCAGUAAAGAUUAGACUAAAUAUAAUUAUACUCUUAAUAUCAGUCUUUAAGCAGCAGUUCCUAAAGAAACCAUACCUGUCAACAUUGAGACUGAUGCAUGUAAAUGUAUUCUAUUUUUUGUAUGUAUUUUAUACAUUGUAUGUAUACUUUUAAUGGCAGGUAAAAUAAUGAGUUGAAAGACCAGCGAUGGGCUGGGGAUGUGGCUCAAGCGGUAGCGCGCUCGCCUGGCAUGUGUGCGGCCCGGGUUCGACCCUCAGCACCACAUACAAAC
Molecule: long non-coding RNA, 2715 nt
Filed under: Marmota monax (woodchuck)
Lineage: Eukaryota; Metazoa; Chordata; Mammalia; Rodentia; Sciuridae
Source: RNAcentral